This 30-nucleotide non-coding RNA is filed under the name Rattus norvegicus (Norway rat). Lineage: Eukaryota; Metazoa; Chordata; Mammalia; Rodentia; Muridae. The record is from RNAcentral.
UGUUAUUAUUAUUUUACUUGAAACAGGGUC